UCUCCAGUAGCUCAAUUGGCAGAGCGAGUGGCUGUUAACCACUAGGUCGUUGGUUCAAACCCAACCUGGGGAG
RNAcentral lists this transfer RNA (73 nucleotides) under Seculamonas ecuadoriensis. Its description in RNAcentral is "tRNA-Asn". It matches the Rfam family "tRNA". From Rfam's summary of the family: Transfer RNA (tRNA) molecules are approximately 80 nucleotides in length. Their secondary structure includes four short double-helical elements and three loops (D, anti-codon, and T loops). Lineage: Eukaryota; Jakobea; Jakobida; Moramonadidae. The record is from RNAcentral.